This 429-nucleotide ribosomal RNA is filed under the name Bacteroidota bacterium. RNAcentral's name for it is "Bacteroidetes bacterium partial 16S ribosomal RNA". It matches the Rfam family "Bacterial small subunit ribosomal RNA", at positions 355 to 776 of the family's 1533-position model. Lineage: Bacteria; Pseudomonadati; Bacteroidota. The record is from RNAcentral.
UAGGGAAUCUUCGGCAAUGGGGGGAACCCUGACCGAGCAACGCCGCGUGAGUGAAGAAGGUUUUCGGAUCGUAAAGCUCUGUUGUUAAGGAAGAACGAGUGUGAGAAUGGAAAGUUCAUGCUGUGACGGUACUUAACCAGAAAGGGACGGCUAACUACGUGCCAGCAGCCGCGGUAAUACGUAGGUCCCGAGCGUUGUCCGGAUUUAUUGGGCGUAAAGCGAGCGCAGGCGGUUAGAAAAGUCUGAAGUGAAAGGCAGUGGCUCAACCAUUGUAGGCUUUGGAAACUGUUUAACUUGAGUGCAGAAGGGGAGAGUGGAAUUCCAUGUGUAGCGGUGAAAUGCGUAGAUAGAUGGAGGAACACCGGUGGCGAAAGCGGCUCUCUGGUCUGUAACUGACGCUGAGGCUCGAAAGCGUGGGGAGCGAACAGG